UGUAAAUCGUGAUUUUGAAUAGGUAAUAAUUAAUCAUGAAAUACAACAGUUACACAAGAAAGUUAAGUCAAAACGGUACGUCAUUCCCGACUACCAAAAAUGAAAAUCCUCUUCACGAAACCAGCGGAAAAGACUUCCUUCAGAAUGAUAAUGUGUCUUCGCUCGAUAAUCGAACGUUCGUUCUGUUCGUAAUGUUCGUAAUGUUUUAUGUACAACAUACAUUUUGCUGAACAGGCGUACCU
Non-coding RNA from Cinara cedri, 242 nucleotides. Lineage: Eukaryota; Metazoa; Arthropoda; Insecta; Hemiptera; Aphididae. The record is from the annotation of a GenBank genome assembly.